UACGAAGGGGGCUAGCGUUGCUCGGAAUCACUGGGCGUAAAGCGUGCGCAGGCGGUUGUGCAGGACAGGUGUGAAAUCCCCGGGCUUAACCUGGGAACUGCACUUGUGACUGCACAGCUGGAGUACGGCAGAGGGGGAUGGAAUUCCGCGUGUAGCAGUGAAAUGCGUAGAUAUGCGGAGGAACACCGAUGGCGAAGGCAGUCCCCUGGGCCUGUACUGACGCUCAUGCACGAAAGCGUGGGGAGCAAACAGG
This 253-nucleotide ribosomal RNA is filed under the name uncultured bacterium. RNAcentral's name for it is "partial 16S ribosomal RNA". It matches the Rfam family "Bacterial small subunit ribosomal RNA", at positions 524 to 776 of the family's 1533-position model. The record is from RNAcentral.